CUAAACCCUAAAAACACAAAAAAAAACCUAAGCCCCAAAUCCUAAACCUCUAAAACCCUAAAAACCCUUAAUAUAAGAAAACCAAAGCCCUAAACCUUAAAAACUUACAUAAAACCCUAUACCUAAAACCCUAAACCUAAAAUAUCCUAAGCCCUAAACCCUAAAUCCUAACCUAAAACCCUAAAUCCUAAACCUAAAACCCUAAAUCCUAUAAAAACCUGAAAACCAUUUAAAACGUCUACAAAACCCUAAUCUCUAAACCCCAAAUCAUAAAAAUCCAUAAAUCCUAUACCUAAAAAAAUACAAAAAAAAAACUAAGCCCUAAAACCUAAACAACCCUAAGAAACACUUAACCCUUAAAAAACCUUAAAACCCAACCCCCCCCCCCUCAAAACUAAAAAUUAUAUACUCUAAAUCCUAUUAAGCCUAAAAUCGUAUAUGCUAAACCCUAAAACACAAAAAAAAAAACCUAUCCCCUAAAUCCAAAACCUAUAAAACCCUAAAAAACCCAAAGCCCUAAACCUUAAAAACCUAGAUAAAAUCCUUACCCUAACACCCUAGGCCGUAAAUCUUAAACCAUAACCUAAAACCCUAAAUCCUAAACCUAAAACCCUAAGAAACAAUCAAGCAACCGCCUUAAGUUUUAGAUAGACUCUAGAUUAGUUUUUCCAUUCGUUUUCCAUGUAAGGGGAGAGUCUCCCUAGUUUAUUGCUUACUAGUUAUGAUGUAUGGAGAGGAGUCCUCUCCUCUAGGUGCAUAGUUAGUAGGUUCCUUUUCUAGUACGGGGAUGAGUCGACUAGCCUUUAUAGGAAGGUUGACACAUGUACCACCAUAGGUUCAGAGGUAAGGUUUAUGUCCCCCUCCUUGUAUUUUUGUUUUGUUAUUAAUGCUAAGGCCUGGAGGUGUUGCUAAGCCCCUGACCCCCCCAAGGGUCGUUCAAAUAAAAAAUAAAAAAUAAAAAAAACCUUAAGAAACCCUAAACCCUAAACCUUACGAAAUUCUAAAUCCUAUAAACCCUCUAAACCAUAUAUAACCACUAAGAAAUCCUAAACCCUAAAUCCAAAAAAUCUAUAAACUCUAAACCUAAAAAACACAAAAAAUCCCUAAGCCCUAAACCUUAAACCCUAAGAAACACUUAACCCUUAAAAACCCAAAAACCCAAAAACCCCUAAACCUAAAAAAAAUCUAAGCUCUAAACCCUAUAAAGACCUAAAUCGUAUAUGCUAAACACUAAAAAACACAAAAAAAAACCUAAGCCAUAAACCCUAAACUUAUUAAAACCUAAAAAACGUUAACCUAAAAAACCAGAAGCCCUAAACCCUAAAAACCUAGAUAAAAUCCUUAACCUAAAACCCUAAACCUAAAAAAAACACUAAGCCCUAAACCCUAAAUCCUUACCUAAAACCCUAAAUCCUAAAUCUAAAAGCCUAAGAAACCCUAAACCUUAAGAAAACUAUAUCCUGUAAACCCUAAAAACCUUUUAAAAUUCCUACAAAACCCUAUACACACAAUGGCUGCGAUAUCACCUCCAAAUACUACUAUCAAGUACGUUGAGUCUAUCAUUGCAAAUUUCUUUUAGGGGAGAGAUCAGGAUAAAAGGAAGUAUCAUUGGGCUUCUAUGGAGACCAUGAUUUUACCUUAUGCUGAAGGAGGAGCGGGUCUUAGAAAACUUACAGAUAUUUGUACUUCUCUCCAGUUUAAGCAAUGGUGGGUCUUUCGAUCUAAAUCUUCUUUAUGGAGUCAGUUUCUUAAAGCAAAAUAUUGUCAGAGGGCUAAUCCAGUUGCAAAAAAGGUGGAUACUAAGGAAUCAUUGGUAUGGAGGUACAUGAUGAAGAAUAAAGACAAAGUAGAAGAACAUAUCACUUGGAAAAUCAGUUCUGGCAGUUGCUCCUUUUGGUGGGAUGAUUGGUUGGGGGGGGGGUGCUAGCUAAGCAUUCCAGUUAUAUUUCAAGCCUCAACAAUGCUACUGUUGCUCAAUUCUUGGUUGAUGGUAAAUGGAAUGAGAGGAAGCUGAGGCAGCAGGUUCCACCUUUGCUCAUCCCACAUAUUUUGAACUAUACGUUUCAAUAUCAACAAGGAGUUCCUGAUAUAGCAAUCUGGAGGCCAAAUGAAAAUGGAAAGUUCACUUGUGCUUCAGCUUGGGAAAUCUGUAGACAUAGGAAUCAUAUUGCAGGGAUAAAUUCUCAGAUUUGGCAUAAACAUAUUCCUUUCAAAAUGUCCUUUCUCCUAUGGAGGGCUUUGAGGAAUAAAUUGCAAACCAAUGUGGCAUUAGGGAAGUUUGGUGUGGAGCCUGUGAGAUGCUUUUGUUGUUAUCAGCAAGGAUGGGAUGAAGUGGAUCAUAUCUUCAUACAAGGACAUUUUGCAGCUCAUAUCUGAAAAUAUUUUUCAAAUAUUUUGGGUAUUGAUGUGCAACAGACUUCCCUAAAUAGCUACCUAUUAAAUUGGUGUGGCAGUCAAGGUAAAAAUGAAGCUCACAAGACCAUUAUUCAGACUCCCUAUAGUUAUAUGCUGGAACCUAUGGAAAAAUAGAUGUUCAGUCAAGUAUGGGGGGAAAGAUAUCUAGCAUCAGCAAAGUUAAUUACUUGAUAAUUAAAGACAUGUUUUAGCUUCUCAGAUCUGUAUUUCCUUACAUUCAGUGGCCAAUGCAGUGGCCAGAAGUUGUUGACAAGUUAGAGCAAAGUAAACAUGAGGGUAGAGUCAUCUCAGUCAUUUGGAAACCUCCCCCUAUUUCUCGAUAUAAACUUAACACUGAUGGCAGUGCUUUGCACAAUCCGGGGAAGAUUGAGGAGGGGGGGGGGUAUUCUAAGGGACUCUAAUGGGAAUAUUAUAUAUGUUUUUGCUAUACCUUUGGGUGAAGGGACCAACAAUCAUGCAGAAGUUCAGGCUGCCAGUUAUGGGAUCAACUGGUGCAUUCAACAUGGGUAUAAAAACAUUAUUUUAGAAGUGGAUUCUGAAUUGCUAACUAAAUGGUUUUUGCAGAUUUCUGAUCCUCCUUGGAGGAUUUCCAGGUUUGUGCAGGAACUACAAAGUUUAGCUAAUCAGUGUGAACUUUUUCAAUGUAUUCAUACUUACAGAGAGGCCAAUAGUACAGCAGAUUGGUUGUGUAAACAAAGUCACAAACAAGAUAUCAUCCAACAUUAUUACAUUCCCAACCAAUUACCAAAAGCAGCAAGAGGAAGUUAUAUUCUGGAGAAAAUGGGCAUGCCAAGUUUCAGAAGGAAACACUUGAGAAGGAUUAAAAUUACUCCUUGACUUUUUGUUCCUUUCAACACACCUCCUUGAAUUUCUAUUUUUUUUCUUUCACCUUAACUAUGUUUUGCUUAGUUUGGUUGUUUGCUUAGGAACAGGAGCUCCAAGUGGUGUUUAUAAAUGGGCAUUCUUCCAUAAACAUCAUAUAGCAGGAAGUAUCUCCAACCAAAGUUCCAAACAUCUAAUUUUCGAUGAUCAAAACUAGUGCGGCAAGAGGAGUUAUUUGCAGAUCUGGAUCAUAAACUAAAGAGCAUAUAAUUACACUUCCUGCAAUUUGAUUCAUGUGAUACAUUCUUUUCGAAUUAGCUAUAUCUUUAGGUAUAGUUGUUUGAUUAGGCCUAGUUUUUUUUAUUCUCUUCUUGUAAGGGGAGAGUCUCCCUUAUUUAUGUAUUAUUAGUAACUUUGUAUUAAGAGAGGAGUCCUCUCUAGGUGCUUAGUUUAAUUUUACAUCUUAUUGUAUAGGGUGGAGUCGACUAACCUUAGUAGGUAGGUCGACUCUUCACCCACCUUAGGAUUGGAGGUAAGUUAUAUGCCCCCCUCCUUCUAUAUUUUGAAUUUUAUAUAUGAUAAGCCCUGGGGGUGCUGCUCAGCCCCUGACUCCCUCAAAGGUCGUUCAAAUAAAAAAAUAAAAAAUAAAAAACCCUAAGAAACACUUAACCUUCAGAAACCCUAUAAAAACACAAAAACCCUUAAACCUAAAAGACUCCCAGCUUUAAAGUACUCUAUAAAGCCCUAAAUCUUAUAUGUUAAACCUUAAAAAAUACAAAAAGUCCCGAAUCCCUAAACCCUAAAAAAACCAUGAUCUACAAAACCAUGAUCUAAAAAACCUAAGCCAUAAACCCUAAAAUCCUAGAUAAAACCCUUAACCUAAAAGCCUAAACCUUAAACCCUAACCUAAAACCAUAAAUCCUAAAUCUAAGACCCUAAGAAACCCUAAACCCUAAACCUUAAGAAACCCUAAAUCCUAUAAACUCUAAAAGAAACCCUAAAAACCAUUCAAAACGCCUACAAAACUCUAAGCUCUACACCCUAAAUCCUAAAAAUCUGUUAACCCUAAGCAUAAAAAAUAUUUUUAAAAAAUCCCUAAAGCCUAAACCGUAAAAAAUCCUAAGAAAUGCUGAACCCUUAAAAGCGUUAAAAACCGACAAAUCCCUUAACUUAAAAACCUCUAAGCUCUAAACCCUCUAAAGCCCUAAAUCGUGUAUGCCAAACCCUAAAAAACAGACAAAAAAAACCCUAAACCCUAAAUCUAUAAAAUCCUAAAAAAACCUUAACACAAAAAACCCAAAGCCCUAAACCUAAAACCCUAGAUAAAACCCUUAACCUAAAACCCUAAACCUAAAAAACCUCUAAAUUCUAUAACCUAAAACCCUAAGAAACUCUUAAACUUAAACCAUAAGAAACACUAAAUCCUAUAAAUCCUAAAAUAAACCCUAAAACACAUUUAAAACCCCUAGUUUCUAAAUCCUAAAAAUCCAUAACCCUAAACAAAAAAACACAAAAAACCCUAAGCCAUAAACCCUAAACCCUAAAAAACCUUAAGAAACACUUAACCCUUAAAACCCCUAAAAACCCCUAAACCUAAAAUAUUAUAAGCUCUAAACCCUAUAAAGCCCUAAAUCGUAUAUUAUAAAUCCUAGAAAAUACAAAAAACCCUAAGCCCUAAACCCUAAACCUAUAAAAUCCUGAAAAACAUUAACCUAAAAAACUCUAAAAACCAAGAUAAAAUCCUUAACCUAAAUCCCUACACCCUAAACCCUAACGAAAAACAGUAACUCCUAAACCUAAAAGCCUAAGAAACCCUAAACCCUAACCCUUUAGAAACCCUAAAUCCUAUAAUACCUAAAAAGACCUAAAAUUCAUUUAAAACCCCAACAAAACCCUAAGCUCUAAACCUUAAACCCUCAAAAUCCGUAAACUCUAAACCUAAAAGCCACAGAAAAAAACCCUAAGCCUUAAACCCUAAACCCUAAAAACCCUCAGAAAUACUAAACCCUUAAAACCCAUAAGCCUAAAAAAAUCUAAGCUAUAAAACCUAUAAAUCCCAAAAUCGUAUAUGCUAUAACCCUAAGAAACCCAAAACCUUAAACCAUAAGAAAUCCUAAAUCCUAUAAACCUUAAAAUAACCCAUAAAACCAUUUAAAACCCCUACAAAACCCUAAGCUCUAAACUCUAAACCUAAAAUCUGUAAACCCUAAACCUACAAAACACAAAAAACCGUAAGAGCUAAACCCCAAACCCUAAAAAACCCUAAGAAACAGUUAAACCUUAGAAACCCUAAAAAAACCCUAACAAACACUUUAACCUUAAAACCAUAAAAACACAAAAACCUCUAAACAUAAAAAAUUCCAAGCUCUAAACACUAUAAAGGCCUAAAUAGUAUAUGCUAAACCCUAAAACACACCAAAAAAAAAUCCUAAGCCCUAAACCCUAAACCUAAAGAACCGUAACAUAAAAUCCCAAAGCCCUAAACCCUAAAACUUAGAUAAAACCCUUAACCCAAAAAAUCCCUAAGUCCUAAACCCUAUACACUAACCUAAAACCCUAAAUCCUAAACCUAAAACCCUAAGAAACCCUUAACCAUAAACCUUAUGAAACCCUAAAUCCUAUAAACCCUAAAAUAAACACUAAAAACCAUUUAACACCCCUAAAAAACCCUAAGAUCUAAACCAUAAAUCCUAAAAUUCCAUAAACCCUAAACCUUAAAAUCACAAAAAAAAACCUAAGCCAAAAACCCUAAAUCCUAUAAAACCCCAAGAAACACUUAACUCUUAAAACCCUAAACCAAAAAAACUCUAAGCUCUAAACCCUAUAAAGCCCUAAAUAGUAUAUGCUAAAUUCUAAAAAAUAAAAUGUAACCGUAAGCCUUAAACCCUAAACAUAUGAAACCCUAAAAAACCUUACACUAAACCACUAUCCCUAAACCCUAAAAAAUUAGAUAAAACCCUUAACCUAAAACACUAAACCUAAAAAAACCCUAAGCCCUAAACCCUAAACCCUAAAUCUUAAACCUAAACGCCUAAGAAACCCUAAAUAAUAUAAACCCUAAAAUAAACCUUAAAACCAUUUAAAACCCCUACAAAACCCUAAGAUCUAAACCCAAAUCCUAGUAAUCCGUAAAUCCAAAACCUAAAACCCCAAAAAACCCUAAGAAACACUUAACCCUUAAAAACCCUAAAAACAUAAAAACCCCUAAACCUAAAAAACUCUAAGCUCAAAACCCUAUAAAGCCCAUAAAUGCCUAAAUUGUAUAUGCUAAACCCUAAAAAACACCAAAACCUCCUAAUCCCUAAACCCUAUACACUAACCUAAAACCCUAAAUCCUAAACCUAAAACCCUAAGAAACCCUUGACCCUAAACCUUAAGAAACCCUAAAUCCUAUAACCCCUAAAAUAAACACUAAAAACCAUUUAAAACCCCUACAAAAUACUAAUCUCUUCACAACAAUUCCUUAAAGGCCGUAAACCCUAAACCUAAAAAACACAAAAAACCCUAAACCAUAAACCCUAAAACGUAUAAAACUCUAAGAAACACUUUACUCAUAAAACCCUAAAAAACCCAAAAACCCCUAAACCUAAAAAAUUCUAAGUUCUAAACUCUAUAAAGCCUUAAAUCAUAUAUGCCAAAGCCAAAAAAACACAAUAUAACCCUAAGCCCUAAAUCCUAAACCUAUAAAACCCUAAGCCCUAAACCUUAGAAAAACUAGGUAAAAUCCUUAACCUAAAACCCUAAACCUAAAAAAAUCCUAAUCGUAUAUCCUAAACCCUAAAAUACAGAAAAAAUCCCUAAGCCCUAAACUCUAAACCUAUAAAACCCUAAAAAACCCAAAGUCCUAUAUCCUAAAAUCCUAGAUAAAACCCUUAAGCUAAAACCCUAAACCUUAAAACAUCUUAAUCCCUAAACCCUAACCUAAAACCCAAAAUCUUAAACCUAAAACCCUAAGAAACCCUGAACUUUAAACCUUAAGAAACCCUAAAUUCUAUAGACCCUAAAAUAAACACUAAAAACCAUUCAAAACUCCUACAAAAUCCCAAGCACUAAACCCUAAACCCUAAAAAUUCGUAAACCCUAAACCUAAAAAAACACAAACAAACCUAAAAAAUAAUUAACCCUAUAAAGCACUAAAUCAUAUAUGCUAAACCCUAAAAACACAAAAAAAACCCUAAUCCCUAAACGUAUAAAACCCUAAAAAACCAAAAGCCCAAAACCCUAAAAAACUAAGUAAAAUCAUUAACCUAAAACCCAAAUCCUAAAAAAACCCUAACCUAAAACCCUAAAUCCGAAACCUAAAACCCUAAGAAAACCUAAACCCUAAACUUAAGAAAACCUAAAUGCUAUAAACCCUAAAAUAAACCCUAUAACCCAUUUAAAACCCCUACAAACUAUAAUCUCUAAACCCUAAAUCCGCAAAUAUCGUGAACCCUAAACCUAAAAACCAUUAAAAACCCUAAGCCCUACACCCUAAGAAACACUUAACCCUAAAAAACCCCUAAAUCGUAUAUGCUAAACCCUACAAAACACAAAAAAGAACCCUAAUCCC
RNAcentral lists this long non-coding RNA (7789 nucleotides) under Solanum tuberosum (potato). Its description in RNAcentral is "long non-coding RNA (STUB_LNC009122)". Lineage: Eukaryota; Viridiplantae; Streptophyta; Magnoliopsida; Solanales; Solanaceae. The record is from RNAcentral.